RNAcentral lists this ribosomal RNA (460 nucleotides) under uncultured bacterium. Its description in RNAcentral is "partial 16S ribosomal RNA". It matches the Rfam family "Bacterial small subunit ribosomal RNA", at positions 338 to 795 of the family's 1533-position model. The record is from RNAcentral.
CCUACGGGCGGCAGCAGUGAGGAAUAUUGGUCAAUGGCCGGAAGGCUGAACCAGCCAUGCCGCGUGAAGGUCAGUGCCCUAUGGGCGUUAAACUUCUUUUGUGCGGGAGCAAUAAUGGUCACGUGUGGCCAGACGAGAGUACCGUACGAAUAAGCAUCGGCUAACUCCGUGCCAGCAGCCGCGGUUAUACUGGGGAUGCAAGCGUUAUCCGGAUUUAUUGGGUUUAAAGGGUGCGUAGGCUGUGAGGUAAGUCAGCGGGGAAAUGCCCCCGCUCAACGGGGUGAAGUGCCAUUGAUACUGCCUUGCUGGAAUGCGGAUGCCGUGGGAGGAAGGUGUGGUGUAGCGGUGAAAUGCAUAGAGAGCACACAGAACACCGAUUGCGAAGGCAUCUCACGAAUCCGCGAUUGACGCUGAUGCACGAAAGCGUGGGUAUCAAACAGGAUUAGAUACCCCAGUAGUC